AUCUAUGGCCAUACCACUCCGAAUGCUCCCGAUCGAGUCUGAUCUCAGAAGCUAAGCAGGGUUGGGCCUGGUUAGUAUUUGCAUGGGAGAAAUUCCAUUCCACUUAACAAAUGGCUGCUGAAUUUC
Molecule: ribosomal RNA, 126 nt
Filed under: Prolemur simus (greater bamboo lemur)
Lineage: Eukaryota; Metazoa; Chordata; Mammalia; Primates; Lemuridae
Source: RNAcentral